RNAcentral lists this ribosomal RNA (465 nucleotides) under Vreelandella stevensii. RNAcentral describes it as "partial 16S ribosomal RNA". It matches the Rfam family "Bacterial small subunit ribosomal RNA", at positions 338 to 795 of the family's 1533-position model. Lineage: Bacteria; Pseudomonadati; Pseudomonadota; Gammaproteobacteria; Oceanospirillales; Halomonadaceae. The record is from RNAcentral.
CCUACGGGGGGCUGCAGUGGGGAAUAUUGGACAAUGGGGGCAACCCUGAUCCAGCCAUGCCGCGUGUGUGAAGAAGGCCCUCGGGUUGUAAAGCACUUUCAGUGAGGAAGAACGCCUGGUGGUUAAUACCCAUCAGGAAAGACAUCACUCACAGAAGAAGCACCGGCUAACUCCGUGCCAGCAGCCGCGGUAAUACGGAGGGUGCGAGCGUUAAUCGGAAUUACUGGGCGUAAAGCGCGCGUAGGUGGCUUGAUAAGCCGGUUGUGAAAGCCCCGGGCUCAACCUGGGAACGGCAUCCGGAACUAUCAAGCUAGAGUGCAGGAGAGGAAGGUAGAAUUCCCGGUGUAGCGGUGAAAUGCGUAGAGAUCGGGAGGAAUACCAGUGGCGAAGGCGGCCUUCUGGACUGACACUGACACUGAGGUGCGAAAGCGUGGGUAGCAAACAGGAUUAGAUACCCGUGUAGUC